RNAcentral lists this ribosomal RNA (427 nucleotides) under uncultured bacterium. RNAcentral's name for it is "bacterial SSU rRNA". It matches the Rfam family "Bacterial small subunit ribosomal RNA", at positions 355 to 774 of the family's 1533-position model. The record is from RNAcentral.
UGGGGAAUUUUGGACAAUGGGCGCAAGCCUGAUCCAGCAAUGCCGCGUGCAGGAUGAAGGCCUUCGGGUUGUAAACUGCUUUUGUACGGAGCGAAAAGGUCUGCCCUAAUACGGUGGGCUCAUGACGGUACCGUAAGAAUAAGCACCGGCUAACUACGUGCCAGCAGCCGCGGUAAUGCGUAGGGUGCAAGCGUUAAUCGGAAUUACUGGGCGUAAAGCGUGCGCAGGCGGUUAUGCAAGACAGAGGUGAAAUCCCCGGGCUCAACCUGGGAACUGCAUUUGUGACUGCAUCGCUGGAGUGCGGCAGAGGGGGAUGGAAUUCCGCGUGUAGCAGUGAAAUGCGUAGAUAUGCGGAGGAACACCGAUGGCGAAGGCAAUCCCCUGGGCCUGCACUGACGCUCAUGCACGAAAGCGUGGGGAGCAAACA